Molecule: ribosomal RNA, 410 nt
Filed under: Microhyla heymonsi (Taiwan rice frog)
Lineage: Eukaryota; Metazoa; Chordata; Amphibia; Anura; Microhylidae
Description: partial 16S ribosomal RNA
Rfam family: Bacterial large subunit ribosomal RNA
Source: RNAcentral
CUUGAUUUCCAUAGGAGGUCUAGCCUGCCCAGUGACAAAGUUAAACGGCCGCGGUACCCUAACCGUGCAAAGGUAGCGCAAUCACUUGUUCUUUAAAUGAGGACUAGUAUGAACGGCAUCACGAGGGUUAUGCUGUCUCCCUACUUUAUUCAGUGAAACUGAUCUCCCCGUGAAGAAGCGGGGAUAAAAAUAUAAGACGAGAAGACCCCAUGGAGCUUUAAACUCAGUAUCAACUGCCACAAUUAAAACCUAAUACUUAAGCAAUUUCUGACUACUAGUUUUCGGUUGGGGUGACCACGGAGUAAAACUUAACCUCCAUGAUGAAAGGAAAUAACAACCUAAAUUAAGAGCUACAACUCUAAAUAUCAACAAAUUGACUAAAUUGACCCAAUUAAUUGAUCAACGAACCA